This 626-nucleotide long non-coding RNA is filed under the name Homo sapiens (human). RNAcentral describes it as "HSALNT0216616". Lineage: Eukaryota; Metazoa; Chordata; Mammalia; Primates; Hominidae. The record is from RNAcentral.
AGGCGCCAGCCCCAUAGUCCUCUGAGUAACUGUCCUGCAGGGUGGUGCUCAGCCGUGCCUGCCCACACCUCCAUCGACUCCAGAUCUGGCACCUUCCAGCUCCUGCCCACAGAUCUGUAUUGCACCUGCCAAGCUCCAGUCUCCCACCCCCAACCUCUGCAGACUCUUCCAGCCUCCUCCAACUCCAGGUUCCUGCAGGAUCCCUCCCUGUCCUACUAGACUGGAGUGACUCUGAAGUCACUUCUACAAGCCUGCGUUGGGCUCCCAUGCAGAUGUCCCAUGUGCACAGAGCCCCGAUUCUGGCUGCAGAGGCAGCUGGCACCAGAUGUGCAGACACAAGGUGCCUGGGCAGGUGCCCAGACAGAAGCCUCAGUCUGGGGCCAUGAGGUGAGCACACUCCCGAGGGAGGCAUCAGCCCAGGACCUCAAACAACGAUGGUGAGAACACCAGCCCGCACUCUUCCUCAUUAGUUGGAGUCAACUUGGAUGCCACCUUCGUGGGAAGGUCUCUCUUCCCCACCAUACCUCUGUGCCUCCAUCUCUCUCGGCCUUUCACCCUACCAAGGAAAAUCUUCCUUGUCCUUCCUUUGUAUCACUGAUCAUCACCCAGCAUGAUCUAUUCAUUUG